Molecule: long non-coding RNA, 2434 nt
Filed under: Salvia miltiorrhiza (redroot sage)
Lineage: Eukaryota; Viridiplantae; Streptophyta; Magnoliopsida; Lamiales; Lamiaceae
Description: long non-coding RNA (SMIL_LNC011372)
Source: RNAcentral
AUUACUCUCUCUCUCUCUCUGAACUCUCAAAGUUUCGCCCCUUUCUCAAUUGCUUUCCCUUUGUGAUCUAUCGAUAGUUUCAGAAACGAAGAUCUCUCAUCUGAAUCGGAGAUCUUUCAUCUUUCUCCGUCGAUGCCGAUGAUUGAAGAUUAUAUCAAUCUGAGGUGAAAACGGAAUUGAUGUUCCAGAAACGGAUUCUUGGCUGCCGAAUCUAAAUCAGAGGACUCUCAUCUUUCUCCGUUGAUGCCGACGACUGAAGAUUCUAUGAAUCUGAGGUGGAAACGGAAUCGAUGGUUCCAGAAACGGAUUCUUGGCUGCCGGAUCUGAAUCGGAGAACUCUCAUCUUUCUCCGUUGAUGCCGAUGACUGAAGAUUCUAUGAAUCUGAGGUGGAAAUCGAUUGUUCCAUAAGCAAUUCGUCACCGACAGAAUUGCACGUCCUCCGCCUGCCGCCGUAAACCUCCUCCUCCGCCAUUCCCUGGAGAGACAUGCUGCCUCCGCCGUUGUUCUCGUAAACCUUCUUCGCCGCUUCGACAAACAGUUCCACCCGCGGCGCUAGGCGAUUCGCCGGAUCCGAUGGUUCUAGAAAAUGAUUCGUGGCUGCCGAAACUUAAUCGGCCUCUCAGGUGAUUUCGUUCUGAAUUCUAUAUUUAUAAGUUUGGGGGCUGGUGAUGCCAAUAUUGUGAUUUAAUCAACUUCUAUAUUUAUAAGUUUGGGGGCUGGUGAUGCCAAUAUUGUGAUUUAAUUGACGGAAAAACUAAACCAAAUAAACUGAGUUUACAUUUCAAACAACUCUAAAAUUCCUAUACAUUGUUUGUCACUGUAAACCCUUAACAAAAAACUGAAAUAGAGAUAAACUACUUGCUUAAGUCAAGUUGUUGAAGUCCUACCAGUAGGCUCUCGGCUGUGUUGCUUGUAUCUUCCCCACUUUCUUGCAAAUAUAGGUAGUUUAAGCUUUCAUGCACAAGCUGAUCAUCCACUUCUAAGCAUUCAGGUAGUAUUCCCAGCCUUUCCAGUUUCUCUUUGCUCAUAUGAGGGAUCUUAUAAUUGUUGCCUCUCUAAAUUUUCAUAGUCUCUAUGUAGCACCCUUGCAAUGAUAGAAACACAUGGUUUAUCUUUGUUGGUGGAUACUCAUCAAAUGCAUCUUUCACAUUCUUGAGCAAGUCUUCUACCCCAUUAGCUGGCUUCUUAUCUUUCAGUGAUUGUGUAGCCCUAAAAAAUCCUAGAUCGUUGACAUUAGUAUCCGGAGAGUUUGCUGGUUGACAAAUUAGUUGAAUGUUGAAUCCAUCAGAGGUGGCAGCUUGUAUGAAAUCUGGAUCAUCCCCCUUUAUAUGUGGUUUAACAUUAUCCUGUUGUAUGAAUAUAUGUUUGCUCAUUCCAGCUGGCCACUUAGCUUUAAUGAUUGGAAUCAUCUGCAUACAGGUUGGUUUUAUAAACACUAAAUGAUGAAAUAACAUUCUGAUAGUAAGAAAGAUGACAUGAAACUGACUUGAUUGAUGAAGCAAUCCUUCGUGAUUGCUCUUGUGAUAGCUUGAAUUGGUUUUGUUUCUAUGGUGCGUUUCAAUCUGUUCUUAGAGUUUAUUUGAGCUGGCUCCUCAGUUAUGAAUGGAAAUAUACCAAUUUUGCCAUCAAAAAAUGCAAUUUCCAUUGCUAUCGAAUAUUGGUCUUGAAACAGCAGCUAAGAACAUGAUUUUCUCAAUGUGUCUUUUUGAUUUGCAUGUCCUAUAUGGCUCUAUCUCAUUUGGUAAAAGGUAAUAUCUGCCACUUGUCUUAGUCAAAUUAAACCACUUUUCAUCUACAUGUAUUAUGUUAUACAUUGUCUGAAAUCUGAAUUUUCCACCUUCACUUAAUGGAUUGAGCUGACAUAGGCUCAUCUAAGCUACACAGCAUAUUUUGGGGUGUGAGGAAUGGCUUGAUUGCAUUAGUGUGUGGCUUUAACUUAUGUUCCUUAACCCACGGAUGGAUCAAGCUCUUACUCACACCUAUCUUACUUGACAUGAUUCUGAGGGAAGGUCUCUCUAAAACUGACAAUGUUUUAAUUCUCUCUACAUCAAGUACCUUUUUUGUCUGCAUGUUUUGAUCCCUUCUUCAUUGAAAUCACAUGAAUAGGUCUUCCCAAAGCUUGUUGAGCAGCUGCUGAUUUCCAAAUGCGCCAGAUUGUCUUGACAUCAACUAGGAACUUUUGUGCCGCCUCCUUUUUUGCUCCAUGAAUCAGAUUUCCUUCUCUGCUGUGUUGUAAGAGCCACUGUCCAAUGUUGUUCCUCUCUUCAUUUGAUAAAUUUCGUUUACUAGACAUGCUGUAGAAGGAGGAUAGAUUUCCUUUGUUUGUAAUGGAAAGAAUUCUGGGUCAGAUUCUUUUAUAAAGGAGGUUAGGUGGGGUUUGAGCUUCCCUCCAAUAAAAAUACACUUUGUGUGCUUUUUGGCUCCAAAUUUGUG